UAAGGAAUAUUGGUCAAUGGACGGAAGUCUGAACCAGCCAUCCCGCGUGCAGGAUGAAGGUCCUAUGGAUUGUAAACUGCUUUUAGCAGAGACGAAACGCCGACAUUUAUGUUGGUCUGACGGUAUCUGCGGAAUAAGCACCGGCUAACUCCGUGCCAGCAGCCGCGGUAAUACGGAGGGUGCAAGCGUUAUCCGGAAUCACUGGGUUUAAAGGGUGCGUAGGCGGAUGAUUAAGUCAGUGGUGAAAGCUGGUCGCUUAACGAUCAAACUGCCAUUGAUACUGAUUGUCUUGAAUUGGGUUGAGGUUAGCGGAAUGUGACAUGUAGCGGUGAAAUGCAUAGAUAUGUCAUGGAACACCAAUUGCGAAGGCAGCUAACUGGGCCUUGAUUGACGCUGAGGCACGAAAGCGUGGGUAGCGAACAGG
RNAcentral lists this ribosomal RNA (424 nucleotides) under uncultured bacterium. Its description in RNAcentral is "bacterial SSU rRNA". It matches the Rfam family "Bacterial small subunit ribosomal RNA", at positions 355 to 776 of the family's 1533-position model. The record is from RNAcentral. RNAcentral also lists the same sequence under 1 other name.